This 390-nucleotide ribosomal RNA is filed under the name uncultured bacterium. Its description in RNAcentral is "bacterial SSU rRNA". It matches the Rfam family "Bacterial small subunit ribosomal RNA", at positions 505 to 898 of the family's 1533-position model. The record is from RNAcentral.
GUGCCAGCCGCCGCGGUAAUACGUAUGUCGCAAGCGUUAUCCGGAUUUAUUGGGCGUAAAGCGCGUCUAGGCGGCCAGAUAAGUCUGAUGUGAAAAUGCGGGGCUCAACUCCGUAUUGCGUUGGAAACUGUAUGGCUAGAGUACUGGAGAGGUAAGCGGAACUACAAGUGUAGAGGUGAAAUUCGUAGAUAUUUGUAGGAAUGCCGAUGGGGAAGCCAGCUUACUGGACAGAUACUGACGCUAAAGCGCGAAAGCGUGGGUAGCAAACAGGAUUAGAUACCCUGGUAGUCCACGCCGUAAACGAUGAUUACUAGGUGUUGGGGGUCGAACCUCAGCGCCCAAGCUAACGCGAUAAGUAAUCCGCCUGGGGAGUACGUACGCAAGUAUGAA